This is a long non-coding RNA of Triticum dicoccoides, 564 nucleotides long. RefSeq lists it as uncharacterized. The record is from RefSeq and is a predicted model, not a curated record. Lineage: Eukaryota; Viridiplantae; Streptophyta; Magnoliopsida; Poales; Poaceae. The transcript has 2 exons.
UCCUACCAGACCAAGAGGAAACCUAGCCGCGUUCUCCUCUGCGGCACGCAACCUUUGUCCCCUCUAGAUAUAGAACAACACGCCUCGUCCACCCAUACCUCGAUCUCGGGGUAAGCUCAGUUCGGCGUCCAUGAUUUGUUCCCAUCACCCGUUUGUUAUCUGAAUCCCAGGUUUCUCCUUCUGAUCGGCGAGUUGGGGCUUGCGGCGAUCUUGGAGAAAAGACGGGAGGCAAGCUGCAUCUGCGCACGGAAGCUUCCGAUCUGCCCGGCUGGCGUCUCAGAUCUGUUGCUGAUCUGAUGCUUCACGGCGGAUCUGGUUGUUCCCGGCGGUCUCAAGUCGGCGCAGCGGCUGGCGGCGAGUUUUCCGGCAAGCACGUGAGAUCCCGUCUGCUCCUCUACCUCGUGCGACGACGGCCAACGGCUCUUUGUGUUGAUAAUAAUUAUUCGAUGAUAUGUCGAUAAUUAUUAGAUCUAAGAGAUCGGAGGUGACGUAAGGUAAGAGCAUGUAACAAGCGAGGUGCUUGUGGAGAGGGCGGAGAAGAUUGAGAAAAAGGAGAUGUGAACA